UCCGCUUCCUGUUCCCCACGCACGAGCGCGCGUCGCCGCCACCGCCGGUCGCCCCGUCUUCGACUGGAUCUGGACCCUCCCUGCCGGGAUCCACGUGCCCAGCCACCUGCGCCGUCCCAUGCGCCAUCGCACGCCGGAGGACCUGCGCCUUGCCUUCCUCGCCAUCGAGCACAAAGGCGCUCGAUCCAGACGACGCCACCGUUGACCGCUCCUCUGCCUCGCCGCCUCCGCCGUCCCCAUGUGUCUCCUGGACAUGGAGAGAGAGCACGGGAGGGAAGGAGGAAGGAAGAGGGAGGCGUGGCCGUGGUUGGUUCUCCGGCGGCGUUGGAUCGGUGCAUGGCCGCAGAGCUCCUGCUCGGGGCCGCGAAGAUCUAGGGAGGGACUCGGGUGCGAGGCUGCGGGUCUAUGCAGAGAUGGCGCUGCUCCUUCAACUUUUGAAGAAUGCGCUGAGACAUCAGCUAGAUCCGCAGGUCUUGCUCCCCAAAAUCCAUCCCUUCUCUUCUUUGGUCCAAUCUGGACUGUUAAUUCCGUCAAGAGGUGUGAAUCAUCGUUUUACUGGAUGCUCUCCCGAUCAUUUCUUCAUAUGCAUUUUGUGGGUAGCAAAAUGUUCUCUCUGUAUGGAUUUGAAAAAGGACCAACUCUUACGAAAUACUUCUUAAAUAGGAUGUGCGAUUUUGAUAGUAUUUUCUAUGAAUUUUGGGAAAAUUUAUGUUAUAUAGCAUGCUUCAUUAAUUCUUUUAGCUCAAGAUAGCUCCCUUGGUGAUUCUUUUCAAUGAAGGACUUGCUCUCCAGCAUGUGGUUUGGUAUUUCUUGACUGCAAGUAUUCAGCAGCUACAACUGAACUGAAGAUCAGCAAGUAUUUAAGCAACACAUAUGUUUGGUUCGCAUGUGUUAUAACCAGAUCAACGAAGUUUCUGCACAUCAUGAGUAAGAGGCGAAGAAAUCAUGUUUGCAAAUGGCCAUCGAUUAAACCGCAGUAUUUUCCAUGAACUGUGGUAACUCUUGCCUAGAAAAACUGCAUGAGAAAAAGUCUUGCUUCAGGUGAAUUUUUGCGUUAUCAUCUUUUGUACAGGUUAAAACUAUCAAGUGUUAACUUUUGUGGUUUGUUAACAAGACUGUUCAUCAUAUCCACUUGUGCAGGUACCAUAACCAGAGUCACUUAUUCGGCAUGGUUUUAUACUGGAAUUAACCACAUAACUAAUUUUGUUUUACCACCUUGACGCCUUCAGUUACAUAGAACUUCUGUCAAUGCCCAACCGAUAAUGAACAAGUACAAUUUUAUAGAUGGUUCAAGUGAAGUUCUGCAAAGUGAAUCAAUUCUGCAAGAUACCAUGCCAUACAUUUUUCCUUGGUAGCAUUAACAUGUAUAGAUCAUUUUAUUGUGUACAACAAAGUCAACAAUACAUGUUUGUAUAACCAUGGCUUUGGUCAAUUUCUGCCAUCGAGCUUCUGCGAAAAUGUGACCAGGAACUAAUUAUGUGGUAAUUCAGUAUAGAACCUGACACUAAAUAAUACUCCCUUCGUUCACUAAUGUAAGACCUUUUAGCUUUUUCUUGAUCGGUUUCUCUUCUUCAGUUGUUGGCUGCCCGUGCAACAUUUUUUCUUGAACCAAGUACUUUGCACUAUAUUUUGAACUUUCUAAUUUUGUUCCGUGACAUGUUUUUGCAGCCUUCCAUUCAAAAUUAGAUCUGGAGGCCUUCGGAUAGCAAUAAAUUUUACCUUUGUUUGUUCAUGCUUCAUAAAUUUGUUUUCCAACUGAUUAUUUGUUGUUACAAAUUUCAGAUUUUGACAGGUUUGGGUCCAUCUAUAACAUGCUUGACCGGGCGAUCACGCGGCUAUCGAGCACUCUUAUCUUCUGGUCAUAAGCUCUUACUAAGAUGUUGUCGGUCAGGUGUCCUCCACUACUGAAGUUUUACCACGAUCUGGUGGUGCUUGAGAGCAGAGACGACAUACUUUCAUCAGCAGUGGCCAAACCCCCACCGCCGCCGGUGCUGUACACCCCUGUACCCCUCGACAUCCAGUGCCUCGCGUCUGCCCAACAUGAAAACCUCCUCAAUAGGUACAUCUCUGAAUUUUUCCCUUGCUAGAGAAAGUCGACCAUUGUUUUGCCGUAGCUAUAAUUUGAGUUUAGAAAGUAUACUACUCUCUUUUUUACGUCAAUUUUUUUAGUUGAUUUUGCUCCAGGAUAGUGCCCUUUAUGUGCAUGAACUAAUGGGUGUGUUCACAACAUAGAGCAGCUUCUCCGUCCAGUCUCAUGUCUUUCUCUUUAGCAGGGAUCAGUGAGUACUACCGAGCAAAAAAGUCCUUCUCUUCGUCAUAUUUCUUCCUUUUCCUUACUACUUUUGUGGCUCCAAAUCUCAUGAUGGCUCUAUGUCUGUUCUUUUCGUUGACAUGGAUUUUACCAUGAAAGUUUCCUUCUGAUCUACAAUGUUCUGCCAUCUAAAUUUUUCUAUAUAUUAUGAAUGAGUAGACACUGGUGCAGAAGCCCAAUUGGAUGAAAUUAGGGACUACAGAGAGAACUUAUGUGGACAGCCCGGCAGAUUUCAAUGGCAAGACUUUUGUACAAUUACAGUGGCAGAUUUCAGAAAUUUGUAGAGCACAUGAUUUACAAUAACAAGAUAUUCUGUCAAGCCAUGGAUAUCAACAAUCAGUCAAGCAAAGAAAUAUUCAUGGGAGAUAUACAGGGAUCCACAAGAAUGUGCACCGUAUGGCACUACCCUUUUGUCAUUGAGCCACUAUCACAUUUUGGUCAGCAAUCAGUUCAAGCAAUUCUCGGCGCCUUUAGUCAGAAGCUGGAAUUUACAACUAAACGAACAUCAAGCAACAGAAGAAAGGGUGGUCAUCUCUUUUUCUUGGCACCAAGAUGCCAUACAAGCAUUGAGACAUCGGAAACACACAAGAAGUUUGUAUAUAAAUGAUUAGCCUUUUAGAAGUAUAUGGCGUUGCUUAAACUAUGUUUCUUUUGGCAACACCAUAUGAAAUGGAGAAAGUUUUAGGUUUAGGAUAAAAUUGUUCUAGAUUUUGAGAAAAUUGUUACAGAUCCAUGAGAAAAAUGUCCCAACUUUAGGAAAUUAACUAUCCAUAUUUUCGGUUAUUGGUUAA
This is a long non-coding RNA of Triticum dicoccoides, 3102 nucleotides long. RefSeq lists it as uncharacterized. Lineage: Eukaryota; Viridiplantae; Streptophyta; Magnoliopsida; Poales; Poaceae. The transcript has 4 exons. The record is from RefSeq and is a predicted model, not a curated record.